UACGUAGGGUGCGAGCGUUGUCCGGAUUUAUUGGGCGUAAAGAGCUCGUAGGCGGUUUGUCGCGUCGGCCGUGAAAUCUCCACGCUUAACGUGGAGCGUGCGGUCGAUACGGGCAGACUUGAGUUCGGUAGGGGAGACUGGAAUUCCUGGUGUAGCGGUGGAAUGCGCAGGAUAUCAGGAGGAACACCGGUGGCGAAGGCGGUUCUCUGGGCCUUACCUGACGCUGAGGAGCGAAAGCGUGGGGAGCGAACAGG
RNAcentral lists this ribosomal RNA (254 nucleotides) under uncultured bacterium. Its description in RNAcentral is "partial 16S ribosomal RNA". It matches the Rfam family "Bacterial small subunit ribosomal RNA", at positions 524 to 776 of the family's 1533-position model. The record is from RNAcentral.